CCAAUAGCGUAUAUUAAAGUUGUUGCAGUUAAAAAGCUCGUAGUUGAAUUUCGGGGUUCUACCGUUGGUCGGGCUAUCCUGUCUGUACUAGCGUGUAGAAUUUCUACCUUCUGGGGAACCAUCAUGUUAUUAAUUUGGCGUGGUGGGAAACCAGGACCUUUACCUUGAAAAAAUUAGAGUGUUCAAAGCAGGCUUACGUCUGAAUACAUUAGCAUGGAAUAAUAGAAUAGGACGGUGGUCCUGUUUUGUUGGUUUCUGAAUCACCGUAAUGAUUAAUAGGGAUAGUUGGGGGCAUUAGUAUUCAAUUGUCAGAGGUGAAAUUCUUGGAUUUAUUGAAGACUAACUUCUGCGAAAGCAUUUGCCAAGGAUGUUUUCAUUAAUCAAGAACGAAAGUUAGGGGAUCGAAGACGAUCAGAUACCGUCGUAGUCUUAACCAUAAACUAUGCCGACUAGGGAUCGGACGAUGUUUAAUUUUAUUGACUCGUUCGGCGCCUUACG
Molecule: ribosomal RNA, 498 nt
Filed under: uncultured Glomeromycotina
Lineage: Eukaryota; Fungi; Glomeromycota
Description: partial small subunit ribosomal RNA
Rfam family: Eukaryotic small subunit ribosomal RNA
Source: RNAcentral